This 733-nucleotide ribosomal RNA is filed under the name Salmonella enterica subsp. enterica serovar Enteritidis. RNAcentral describes it as "partial 23S ribosomal RNA". It matches the Rfam family "Bacterial large subunit ribosomal RNA", at positions 2093 to 2824 of the family's 2925-position model. The record is from RNAcentral. Lineage: Bacteria; Pseudomonadati; Pseudomonadota; Gammaproteobacteria; Enterobacterales; Enterobacteriaceae.
GUGAACCUUUACUAUAGCUUGACACUGAACAUUGAGCCUUGAUGUGUAGGAUAGGUGGGAGGCUUUGAAGUGUGGACGCCAGUCUGCAUGGAGCCGACCUUGAAAUACCACCCUUUAAUGUUUGAUGUUCUAACGUGGACCCGUUACCCGGGUUGCGGACAGUGUCUGGUGGGUAGUUUGACUGGGGCGGUCUCCUCCUAAAGAGUAACGGAGGAGCACGAAGGUUGGCUAAUCCUGGUCGGACAUCAGGAGGUUAGUGCAAUGGCAUAAGCCAGCUUGACUGCGAGCGUGACGGCGCGAGCAGGUGCGAAAGCAGGUCAUAGUGAUCCGGUGGUUCUGAAUGGAAGGGCCAUCGCUCAACGGAUAAAAGGUACUCCGGGGAUAACAGGCUGAUACCGCCCAAGAGUUCAUAUCGACGGCGGUGUUUGGCACCUCGAUGUCGGCUCAUCACAUCCUGGGGCUGAAGUAGGUCCCAAGGGUAUGGCUGUUCGCCAUUUAAAGUGGUACGCGAGCUGGGUUUAGAACGUCGUGAGACAGUUCGGUCCCUAUCUGCCGUGGGCGCUGGAGAACUGAGGGGGGCUGCUCCUAGUACGAGAGGACCGGAGUGGACGCAUCACUGGUGUUCGGGUUGUCAUGCCAAUGGCACUGCCCGGUAGCUAAAUGCGGAAGAGAUAAGUGCUGAAAGCAUCUAAGCACGAAACUUGCCCCGAGAUGAGUUCUCCCUGAGACUUAG